This 383-nucleotide long non-coding RNA is filed under the name Citrus x clementina. Its description in RNAcentral is "Citrus clementina (C. clementina) long non-coding RNA (CCLE_LNC000203)". Lineage: Eukaryota; Viridiplantae; Streptophyta; Magnoliopsida; Sapindales; Rutaceae. The record is from RNAcentral.
AAUACUAAACAAACCUUUAUGCGAGAAAAAAACAUAUGUUUUCUUAAAGUACAUAAUAAAGAAAUUAAUAACUAAAAACUAAUAAAUAUGUGUUUAUUGUAAUAGAAUUCAUAUAGCUUAGUAACUGUAAAACCUUCUUAAAAACAAACAGUAAAACUGUAAUAAAUUGAUACCUCGAUUUAAUGAAGCGUUUUGUUAAUCUAGACUUAGGACCAAUGUUAUUGGAGCAAUUAUCAUAAAUUAUUAAUGAUGAAUGUGGAACAAAUUAUAAAGUUAGUACAAACACAUAAUGUAACAUCUAGCCAAAAGUUGUAGGUUACAACUCAUGAAGCAUUAAAUUUAAGAUGUAAUUGGCUAGUAUUUGACUACACGUAUAGUCUUUU